Zalophus californianus (California sea lion) is the source of this 935-nucleotide long non-coding RNA. RefSeq lists it as uncharacterized. The transcript has 3 exons. The record is from RefSeq and is a predicted model, not a curated record. NCBI's taxonomy places the organism in Eukaryota, Metazoa, Chordata, Mammalia, Carnivora, Otariidae.
AAAGACAUCAGACAAGCCAAGAUUGGGAGACAUUCUCUAAAACAGGUCAUGAAAAGACAAGAGAAGAUUGAGAAACAAUCAUAGACCAGAGGGGACCUAGGAGAUAUGAUGACUAAAAGUAAUCUCUAUACCCAGUGUGGGGCUCGAACUCACAGCCUUGAGAUCAAGAGUUGGUGCUCUUCUGACUAAACCAGCGGGGAGCCCUGAGAUAUCUUUAAAUAUGCAAAGACAAUCAUUGCCUUUUACCACAGAUUGCCGCUCCUGAAUUCACCUACCCCUCCAGAGAAAGCCUGCCGUCAGUGCUAGCUCAGAGGAAAACGCUCCUGCUCCGCUUCAGAGUCAGCAACAUCUGUUCUUCUCCUGGUCUCUGCUGCUGCCGAGAGCAAACAAAGACAUUUACUGACCAAAAUUCAAUGCGUAGAAGCUAAGCUCAUGGAAUCUGCCAAGCUGUGUGACGUUGGGGAGUUCUCUCUUGGCACCUCUGUUUCUUUCUCUGGAAAAAGAAGUGGUUGUAAUAGUACCUACUUCCCAGGGUUUUUGAGAGUAUAAACUGAGUUAAAACAUGUGAUGUGGUCAGACUUGGUCCAGCAUAUGGUACGAACUCAGUAAGGAUUAGCUAUGGUCACGAUAACGCAUGUCCCUUAGUUCACCAGUGAGGAAUUUUCAGAUCUCACAGUCUACUAUGGGCUGAGUUGGGCCCCCCUCAAAUUCAUAUGUGGAAGUCCUGACCCCCAGUAUCUCAAAAUGUGACUGUAUAUGCAGAAAGAGGCUUCAAAAAGGUAAUUAGGGUAAAACGAGAUCAUGUGGACAGGCCCCAAUUCAGUGUGACUGGUGUCCUGAGGGGAGAGGAGAUCAGGGCACACAUACACAGAGGGAAGGCGACGUGAGGAAGACACAGGAGUAAGAUGGCCAUCUACAAGCCAAGGAGAAAGGCC